Molecule: long non-coding RNA, 275 nt
Organism: Micropterus salmoides (largemouth bass)
Lineage: Eukaryota; Metazoa; Chordata; Actinopteri; Centrarchiformes; Centrarchidae
Exons: 2
Source: RefSeq, a predicted model, not a curated record
UGUCCUAGAUGCUACACGUAUGAUUCUCCUGUGAUUACCUACCGUAUCGGAUGGUUCGCAAUUUCUUUCGUUGGAUUGCUGUCACUUGCAGGGUGUAUUCUAGGGUGCUGCUUGUGUCCCCUCGUACUGAAGAGCUGCAAGGAUGAAGUUCACUGCUGUUCUAACUGUAAUAUGCGCCUUGUUGUAACCUAACAGUAAAUGUCAACCGUAUGUUUUACUUGGUGCAUGUGGUGUAACCUGCCUGAUUCACAAUAAAGAAAGUCAUGUAUACAUGA